CCUACGGGGGGCUGCAGUGGGGAAUAUUGGACAAUGGGGGCAACCCUGAUCCAGCCAUGCCGCGUGUGUGAAGAAGGCCCUCGGGUUGUAAAGCACUUUCAGUGAGGAAGAACGCCUGGUGGUUAAUACCCAUCAGGAAAGCCAUCACUCACAGAAGAAGCACCGGCUAACUCCGUGCCAGCAGCCGCGGUAAUACGGAGGGUGCGAGCGUUAAUCGGAAUUACUGGGCGUAAAGCGCGCGUAGGUGGCUUGAUAAGCCGGUUGUGAAAGCCCCGGGCUCAACCUGGGAACGGCAUCCGGAACUGUCAAGCUAGAGUGCAGGAGAGGAAGGUAGAAUUCCCGGUGUAGCGGUGAAAUGCGUAGAGAUCGGGAGGAAUACCAGUGGCGAAGGCGGCCUUCUGGACUGACACUGACACUGAGGUGCGAAAGCGUGGGUAGCAAACAGGAUUAGAUACCCUAGUAGUC
This 465-nucleotide ribosomal RNA is filed under the name Vreelandella stevensii. RNAcentral describes it as "partial 16S ribosomal RNA". It matches the Rfam family "Bacterial small subunit ribosomal RNA", at positions 338 to 795 of the family's 1533-position model. The record is from RNAcentral. Lineage: Bacteria; Pseudomonadati; Pseudomonadota; Gammaproteobacteria; Oceanospirillales; Halomonadaceae.